This 435-nucleotide ribosomal RNA is filed under the name uncultured Glomus. RNAcentral's name for it is "SSU rRNA". It matches the Rfam family "Eukaryotic small subunit ribosomal RNA", at positions 569 to 1008 of the family's 1831-position model. The record is from RNAcentral. Lineage: Eukaryota; Fungi; Glomeromycota; Glomeromycetes; Glomerales; Glomeraceae.
AGCAGCCGCGGUAAUUCCAGCUCCAAUAGCGUAUAUUAAAGUUGUUGCAGUUAAAAAGCUCGUAGUUGAAUUUCGGGGUUAGUAGGUUGGUCAUGCCUCUGGUAUGUACUGGUCUCACUGAUUCCUCCUUCCUGAUGAACCUUAAUGCCAUUUAUUUGGUGUUUUGGGGAAUUUGGACUGUUACUUUGAAAAAAUUAGAGUGUUUAAAGCAAGCUAACGCUUGAAUACAUUAGCAUGGAAUAAUGAAAUAGGACGUUCGAUCCUAUUUUGUUGGUUUCUAGGAUUGACGUAAUGAUUAAUAGGGAUAGUUGGGGGCAUUAGUAUUCAAUUGUCAGAGGUGAAAUUCUUGGAUUUAUUGAAGACUAACUACUGCGAAAGCAUUUGCCAAGGAUGUUUUCAUUAAUCAAGAACGAAAGUUAGGGGAUCGAAGACGAU